This 497-nucleotide ribosomal RNA is filed under the name uncultured bacterium. RNAcentral's name for it is "partial 16S ribosomal RNA". It matches the Rfam family "Bacterial small subunit ribosomal RNA", at positions 28 to 507 of the family's 1533-position model. The record is from RNAcentral.
GAUGAACGCUGGCGGCGUGCCCAAUACAUGCAAGUCGAGCGAACGGACGAGAAGCUUGCUUCUCUGAUGUUAGCGGCGGACGGGUGAGUAACACGUGGAUAACCUACCUAUAAGACUGGGAUAACUUCGGGAAACCGGAGCUAAUACCGGAUAAUAUUUUGAACCGCAUGGUUCAAAAGUGAAAGACGGUCUUGCUGUCACUUAUAGAUGGAUCCGCGCUGCAUUAGCUAGUUGGUAAGGUAACGGCUUACCAAGACAACGAUGCAUAGCCGACCUGAGAGGGUGAUCGGCCACACUGGAACUGAGACACGGUCCAGACUCCUACGGGAGGCGGCAGUAGGGAAUCUUCCGCAAAGGGCGAAAGCCUGACGGAGCAACGCCGCGUGAGUGAUGAAGGUCUUCGGAUCGUAAAACUCUGUUAUUAGGGAAGAACAUAUGUGUAAGUAACUGUGCACAUCUUGACGGUACCUAAUCAGAAAGCCACGGCUAACUACGUG